CUAAGUUGUACCUGUCAUUGAGAAAGUCAUGGCAUCUUAAAAUAGAAUUAAGAACAGAUUGCCAACAUGCUUUUUUCCGGCUGUUGUCGGUGACCUACAAGAUCCAUUUAUAAAUAUUGCUCACAAGUUUCUCCAGGCCCUUAUUCACCAGUGUGGAAAGGCCAAGGACUGUUACUGCUGCAGCACAGCUGAAGAAAAUUAUUUCCACCCAGAGAAGAGGACAGUGACCCGCUUUGCUCUUUUAUUAGUCAACUGGCAUCUGUGCAGAGCUUCCUCGAUUGUCCUUGAUUAAGAGCUUAGACCUGCUUCUACUGAAGAAUAUUGCUUAUUACUGCUUGGUUUCUCCACAUCUGAAACAGUUCACAGAAAUGUGCCAGUCAUGGAGUCUACUCUCUCUGAUUGCCCCCAACAUCGUGAAGUUCUCUGUGACACCUCUGAGGCUGAUGCCAUUUACCUACUCAUGAGACGUAGAAUUCCUGUUGGAAUGAGGCAGACUUUUCCCUCUUCAAAUAAGGUGUUAUGGCCACUGUGUUUAACUGCAGUAAAUCAGAACUGGUAUCUUUUAGGUCAUAUUAAGCUCCCACUAGUACUGUCUGGCACUUUUAUUCAGUGAGUAUAUAAUAUGCCAAAAAUAAAGCUUCUCUUCGAUU
Molecule: long non-coding RNA, 650 nt
Organism: Pezoporus occidentalis (night parrot)
Lineage: Eukaryota; Metazoa; Chordata; Aves; Psittaciformes; Psittacidae
Exons: 2
Source: RefSeq, a predicted model, not a curated record